AACGAACGCUGGCGGCAUGCCUAACACAUGCAAGUCGAACGAGACCUUCGGGUCUAGUGGCGCACGGGUGCGUAACGCGUGGGAACCUGCCCUUAGGUUCGGAAUAACUCCCCGAAAGGGGUGCUAAUACCGGAUAAUGUCUUCGGACCAAAGAUUUAUCGCCUUUGGAUGGGCCCGCGUUGGAUUAGCUAGUUGGUAGGGUAAAGGUCUACCAAGGCGACGAUCCAUAGCUGGUCUGAGAGGAUGAUCAGCCACACUGGGACUGAGACACGGCCCAGACUCCUACGGGAGGCAGCAGUGGGGAAUGUUGGACAAUGGGCGAAAGCCUGAUCCAGCAAUGCCGCGUGAGUGAUGAAGGCCUUAAGGUUGUAAAGCUCUUUUACCCGGGAUGAUAAUGACAGUACCGGGAGAAUAAGCUCCGGCUAACUCCGUG
This 433-nucleotide ribosomal RNA is filed under the name uncultured bacterium. RNAcentral describes it as "partial 16S ribosomal RNA". It matches the Rfam family "Bacterial small subunit ribosomal RNA", at positions 29 to 507 of the family's 1533-position model. The record is from RNAcentral.